This 462-nucleotide unclassified non-coding RNA is filed under the name uncultured fungus. Its description in RNAcentral is "partial contains 5.8S ribosomal RNA, internal transcribed spacer 2, and large subunit ribosomal RNA". The stretch from base 1 to 52 matches the Rfam family "5.8S ribosomal RNA", at positions 103 to 154 of the family's 154-position model. Lineage: Eukaryota; Fungi. RNAcentral also lists the same sequence under 1 other name. The record is from RNAcentral.
AACGCACCUUGCGCUUCGUGGUACUCCACGAAGCAUGCCUGUUUGAGUGCCAUAAAUCCUCCCCUCCCACGCGGUUGCCACUGAGCGCUGCGUGGCGCCGAGGGGGUAUGAUGGGUGUUGUUUUUGCCUGUGUGUGUGCCACAGCAGCGCCAGGCUCGCCCAAAAUAGAUUAGCGCCGAUCCUCCACACACGCGCACGGACAGUGUUGUUGUUGUGUUUUGGCCGCCUCCCGAGAGGAAGGCGGGCGCACGGCGAGGCGCGCGGUCUGUCAUGCCAAACUGCUGGCGACAGGACUGUGCACAGCAUGAUACGUCAUUUGCUGUGUGCCCGGUCCACGCUGGUGGGACAGGACGCGCGGUCCUUGCGCUAAAGUGCAGCAGGAUGGAGUGUGCUUCGAAACACUAAAGGAUUCCUCUCUCUCAUUUUGGUCUCAAAUCAGGUAGGAUCACCCGCUGAACUUAA